This is a long non-coding RNA of Lontra canadensis (Northern American river otter), 458 nucleotides long. RefSeq lists it as uncharacterized. The transcript has 3 exons. Lineage: Eukaryota; Metazoa; Chordata; Mammalia; Carnivora; Mustelidae. The record is from RefSeq and is a predicted model, not a curated record.
ACCUGAAACUGCCUGGGUGGACCAAGAGUGGAGGGGGCCGUCCUGCUGGGCCCAGGGGAGGGGGCCAUCAGGGGAAGGCCCUUUCUGUCUCUGGGGACUGGAACUUCCGCUUUGGCCUGAGAGCAGCAGGCGCCUAGGUCCUCGUCCCACUGCUGCCCAGCCCAGCGGCAUCACCGGACACCAGGUUCCCAGGUGGAGUGGCGAGCAGUUAAUAGUUAGCCCUGAGUGAAGCGAACCCUGUUUGUCAAGGAGGGGGUGGGACCACACACCCCAUGAGAGACCGCGUUCCUCUCAGACUCCAUCUCACUGAAUCCUCCGCCCUGACAGGUCCUACCUCAUCCGUCCUCCCACCAAUCCUACAUGCCAGAGGUUAGUAUUAUCCCCAUUUCGUGGAAGGGGAAACACGCCAGAGAGAAGCCAUUUGCCUGAGGCCCUUACCUGGGAGAGGCAGAGGACUG